Molecule: ribosomal RNA, 424 nt
Filed under: uncultured bacterium
Lineage: Bacteria
Description: bacterial SSU rRNA
Rfam family: Bacterial small subunit ribosomal RNA
Source: RNAcentral
UAACGAAUCUUCCGCAAUGCACGAAAGUGUGACGGAGCGACGCCGCGUGCAGGACGAAGCCCUUCGGGGUGUAAACUGCUGUCAGGGGAAAGAAAGUUCUGAUCUACCCCAGAGGAAGAGGCGGCUAACUCUGUGCCAGCAGCCGCGGUAAUACAGAGGCCUCGAGCGUUAGGCGGAAUCACUGGGCUUAAAGCGUGUGUAGGCGGACUUCUAAGUACCUUGUGAAAUCCCACGGCUUACCCGUGGAACUGCUGGGUAUACUGGUUGUCUUGAGCUUUCUAGGGGCGAGCGGAACAAAUGGUGGAGCGGUGAAAUGCGUAGAUAUCAUUUGGAACGCCAAUGGUGAAAACAGCUCGCUGGGGAAAUGCUGACGCUGAGACACGAAAGCCAGGGGAGCAAACGGGAUUAGAUACCCCGGUAGUCC